CGAGCACGCGCGUGUGGCAUAUCAAUAAGCGGAGGAAAAGAAACUAACAAGGAUUCCCUUAGUAACGGCGAGUGAAGCGGGAAGAGCUCAAAUUUGAAAGUCUUCAAGGUUCUACCUUGACGAAUUGUAGUUUAUAGAAGUGUUUUCUGUUAGUGGAGUGGCAAAAGUUCUUUGGAAUAGGACAUCAUAGAGGGUGAGAAUCCCGUAUUUGGUCAUAUCCUCCUAGCGUUGUGAUACACUUUCAACGAGUCGGAUUGUUUUGGGAAUGCAGUCCAAAAUGGGUGGUAAAUUUCAUCUAAAGCUAAAUAUUGGCGAGAGACCGAUAGCGAACAAGUACCGUGAGGGAAAGAUGAAAAGAACUUUGAAAAGAGAGUUAAACAGUACGUGAAAUUGUCAAAAGGGAAGCGUUUGACACCAGUGUUGUUUUUUCCGAAAAUCAAUUACGAAUGUUUUGUUUUUGAGGAGUUAUGACUUCAUCGGCUUGCUCCUUUCUUUACGAAACUUUCUUAAUGCACUUUUCGGUUAACAAGUCAACAUCAAUUUCUUUUGUUGUAAAAGGGUAUGAGGAAGGUGGCUUUCUUUUCGGAGAAAGUGUUUAUAGCCUUGUGCCUCUACAAUCGGAGAGAUUGAGGUCCUGCAGCGUAGAUCCUUCGGGGUUAGAUACGUUUGUGCUAAGUUAUAGCUUUUCAUAGACAACUUGUUGACUAUGUUUAGUCUUGUAGCUUACUCGCUUAUGCUAUUUUACCUACGCUUAGGAUGUUGAUGUGAUACUGCGAGCA
This 779-nucleotide ribosomal RNA is filed under the name uncultured Neocallimastigales. RNAcentral describes it as "partial large subunit ribosomal RNA". It matches the Rfam family "Eukaryotic large subunit ribosomal RNA", at positions 19 to 646 of the family's 3401-position model. Lineage: Eukaryota; Fungi; Neocallimastigomycota; Neocallimastigomycetes; Neocallimastigales. The record is from RNAcentral.